Molecule: ribosomal RNA, 222 nt
Filed under: uncultured bacterium
Lineage: Bacteria
Description: partial 16S ribosomal RNA
Rfam family: Bacterial small subunit ribosomal RNA
Source: RNAcentral
AGUAAUGUAUGGGGAUCUGCCUGAUGGCGGGGGAUAACUACUGGAAACGGUAGCUAAUACCGCAUAAUGUCUGCGGACCAAAGCGGGGGACCUCCGGGCCUCGCGCCAUCAGAUGAACCCAUAUGGGAUUAGCUAGUAGGUGGGGUAACGGCUUACCUAGGCGACGAUCCCUAGCUGGUCUGAGAGGAUGAUCAGCCACACUGGGACUGAGACACGGCCCAG